RNAcentral lists this microRNA precursor (70 nucleotides) under Myotis lucifugus (little brown bat). RNAcentral's name for it is "mir-9229 microRNA precursor family". It matches the Rfam family "mir-9229 microRNA precursor family". Lineage: Eukaryota; Metazoa; Chordata; Mammalia; Chiroptera; Vespertilionidae. The record is from Rfam by way of RNAcentral.
GAGACACCCUUCUGGGGCAAGACUUGUGGGGCUUUGGCGCUCACUGAGUCUGCCCCCUGAGUGUGUCCCU